AUUGAACGCUGGCGGCAGGCCUAACACAUGCAAGUCGAGCGGAUGAAGGGAGCUUGCUCCUGGAUUCAGCGGCGGACGGGUGAGUAAUGCCUAGGAAUCUGCCUGGUAGUGGGGGAUAACGUCCGGAAACGGGCGCUAAUACCGCAUACGUCCUGAGGGAGAAAGUGGGGGAUCUUCGGACCUCACGCUAUCAGAUGAGCCUAGGUCGGAUUAGCUAGUUGGUGGGGUAAAGGCCUACCAAGGCGACGAUCCGUAACUGGUCUGAGAGGAUGAUCAGUCACACUAGAACUGAGACACGGUCCAUACUCCUACGGGAGGCAGCAGUGGGGAAUAUUGGACAAUGGGCGAAAGCCUGAUCCAGCCAUGCCGCGUGUGUGAAGAAGGUCUUCGGAUUGUAAAGCACUUUAAGUUGGGAGGAAGGGCAGUAAGUUAAUACCUUGCUGUUUUGACGUUACCAACAGAAUAAGCACCGGCUAACUUCGUG
This 484-nucleotide ribosomal RNA is filed under the name uncultured bacterium. Its description in RNAcentral is "partial 16S ribosomal RNA". It matches the Rfam family "Bacterial small subunit ribosomal RNA", at positions 30 to 507 of the family's 1533-position model. The record is from RNAcentral.